GGACCGAGCAAAACAACAGCAGCACAUUGCUGAUCAGAGAGAGCCAGAGGGAAAGGAGAUGGUCCUCCCGCAGCCGGGUGGUGAGGGUGCUGCCUGAAAAGGCUAAGCACGAGAUCAAGUGUAACCAGUAACAGAGUCAUUACAGAGAACCCAAGUGACGAACACCAGCCGGCUGCGUCAGACCUGACCACAGCUGAUGGAAACAGACCCACAGCAAACGCAAAGGCAGAGGACACCAAGAGAGCACGAAGGGAAGCCGUGAAUAGCAUGUUAAAGUACAAUGGCCCUUGCCCUUUCCUUUGCACAUUAAAUGGUGCAGGAUGCAAACCAGGUCAAUGGAAGCAGCUUCAUGUUUUACCAUGCAAAGACAGUUUGUUUGGACAGUGGCACAUAUAACACAACGUGAUUUGGAAAUAGCUCGCUAUUCAUUUACUGUUGCCGAGUCAAGACCCAUCACCGUCUUAUCAGGGAAAUAUGAAGCAAAGAAUGGAGAUCCAAACUCAUAUUAGACACAAAUUCCUACUCUUCUACGUCCAUGCAGCAACCUUACAUUCACCACCAGGAGUUUCUACGGAUACUUAAUCAGACCAGUCCUGGACAUUUUGAUGGAGCCAAUAACCUGGAGCGAGGUGUACUGAUGAUGCACUAAGAUGACAGAGAAGGUAAAUCUGGAGUAAUUACUACAGAAGAAAAAGUAGGUAAUGAGAAUAGGCAGUGAAUCGGUAUCUUAAGCACAUGACUCGGACUGCAGCAUUCAAGGAGGUUAGUUCACAGUGACCACAGCAGCUGAAGGCUCCUUUGAAGUUCGGACUGCUGAUAGAGCUCUGUUACAGAUGAAGCUUGUAUUUAAUGACUGAAGUAGAAGCAUCUGGCAUCUGAAAAAUGUCUGGUUUAGCAAUCUGACCUGCAAAUCUAGUAUUCAUUUGGAAUAUUGAAUCCUUCAUAUAC
Molecule: long non-coding RNA, 948 nt
Organism: Hypanus sabinus (Atlantic stingray)
Lineage: Eukaryota; Metazoa; Chordata; Chondrichthyes; Myliobatiformes; Dasyatidae
Exons: 5
Source: RefSeq, a predicted model, not a curated record